ACCGAUCGGGCGGUAAGGGCUCGAAAGAGCUCGCCAUCCAUUCGAACUCCGAAUGUACAGACGCCGUAGAAGCUAGGAGGCGGGUUUAUGUGGGGUAAGCCUCAUAACCGAGAGGGGGACAACCCAGACUAAAGUUAAGGUCCCUAAAUGUCCGCUAAGUGUCAAACCAAAGGGUGUUUUCGAGCAAAGACAGCAGGAAGGUAGGCUCAG
This 210-nucleotide ribosomal RNA is filed under the name Chloropicon mariensis. RNAcentral's name for it is "partial Archaeal large subunit ribosomal RNA". It matches the Rfam family "Archaeal large subunit ribosomal RNA", at positions 988 to 1195 of the family's 2987-position model. Lineage: Eukaryota; Viridiplantae; Chlorophyta; Chloropicophyceae; Chloropicales; Chloropicaceae. The record is from RNAcentral.